This 987-nucleotide small RNA is filed under the name Rattus norvegicus (Norway rat). RNAcentral's name for it is "uncharacterized LOC103691317". Lineage: Eukaryota; Metazoa; Chordata; Mammalia; Rodentia; Muridae. The record is from RNAcentral.
AUGAGCCCUAUGACUCUGACUCAGCCCCGCCUGUGGUACCAGCAUGCAGUGGGCGUGGACUCUUCCCUCCUGAUGCCUUCCCAGCUUGGAAGAGCAAGUGCUACAAAGGAAAAUCAUCCUUGCAUGGGAAGACAAGCCAAAGCCACACAUCACGGAAGGAUUCCGAGUGAUGGAAAAGAAAAUGGAAAAAUGGGAUAGAGUUUAUAUUCGUAAUACCAAAUAGAUCUGAGAGUCAUUUCUCACUCAUGCCUCCGAUAUUAGUAUAAAUGCCCUUUUGUAACUAAAAAAAAAUUUUUUUGCCUCGAGUUCAAGACAAUACUUUCUUUUCAUUCUUUUGCAAAAAUUAAUUCGUAUCUGUUUCAGUUAGGAUUAUGUUCUGCUACAUAAAAUAGAAAAUCCAAAAGAAAAGAAAAACCUCUGUUGAGAGGUUUAAAGCCACACCGGUCGGAUCUAUUCUUUCAUGUAAAAGACAUCCGGAAAUGAGCAGUCCGGGGUGGGGAGGGCAGCUCUACAAAGACUCCAGGAACCAGGACGGCUCACAUCUUUUCUGUUUUACCAUUCUUAGCACAUAGCCUCCAGCCUCACGUUGGCUACUGGGGUUCUAGCAUCUUGUCUGGGGGUCCCGGCAACCAGAAGAGAAAAAGGCAAAGAAAACCACAUAGCAUCCCGUUGAGGCAGCCGCCCUGAAGCAUGCUCCCUGAAACCCUUCUGGAAAGUACUGCACGGCCACUACCUGGUCACCUGAUGAGGCUACAGAGGAACCAAACAAAGAUGCAGAUCCCCCUUUUUGGACGAUAGCUCGAGCUCUUUUGUGUUGGGAUCUACGACACAUCAGGAGAAGCAGAAUAGAAGGGACAUGGAGCUGCGUAUGUUUAAGUUUAAAGUUUGACAAGUAUGUGUUUGGCAAGCUAUGGAUGCACAAUUAGGAAGCAAUUGUCAUUGCACUUUUCACAAAUGUAAAUAGAGAUGAUGAAUAAAUUUACCAAA